AGGGUUGUAGUUAAUCAUAACAUUUGGGUUGCAUUCAAAAAGUAUUGGAAUAUACCAAUCAACCUUA
This 67-nucleotide transfer RNA is filed under the name Oxya adentata. RNAcentral describes it as "tRNA-Ala". The record is from RNAcentral. Lineage: Eukaryota; Metazoa; Arthropoda; Insecta; Orthoptera; Acrididae.